Molecule: ribosomal RNA, 432 nt
Filed under: uncultured bacterium
Lineage: Bacteria
Description: bacterial SSU rRNA
Rfam family: Bacterial small subunit ribosomal RNA
Source: RNAcentral
UCGCGUGAGUGAUGAAUGUUUCGCGAUCGUAAAACCUGCUGUUAGGGAAGAACAAGUUGGGUAGUACUGAACCAAGCUUGACGUGUACUAAACAGAAAAGCACGGCUUAAUACGUGCCAACAAGCGCGGUAAUACGUACGGUGGCAAGGCGUUGUCCCGGAAUAUAUUGGUGCGUACAGCGCUCGCAGUGCGGUCUUUUAAGUCCUGAUGUGAAAGCCCAUGGCUUAACCGUGGAGGGUCCAUUGGAAACUGGAGGACUUGAGUACAGAAGAGGAGAGUGGAAUACCACGUGUACCGGUGAAAUGCGUAGAGAUGUGGAGGAACACCAGUGGCGAAUGCGACUCUCUGGUCUGUAACUGACGCUGAGGAGCUGACACGCUGUGGGGAGCGAACAGUGAUUAGAUACCCUGGAUAGUCCACGCCGUAAACGAU